This 670-nucleotide ribosomal RNA is filed under the name Alteromonas macleodii. RNAcentral describes it as "bacterial SSU rRNA". It matches the Rfam family "Bacterial small subunit ribosomal RNA", at positions 94 to 765 of the family's 1533-position model. Lineage: Bacteria; Pseudomonadati; Pseudomonadota; Gammaproteobacteria; Alteromonadales; Alteromonadaceae. The record is from RNAcentral.
AGUGGCGGACGGGUGAGUAAUGCUUGGGAACUUGCCUUUGCGAGGGGGAUAACAGUUGGAAACGACUGCUAAUACCGCAUAAUGUCUUCGGACCAAACGGGGCUUCGGCUCCGGCGCAAAGAGAGGCCCAAGUGAGAUUAGCUAGUUGGUAAGGUAACGGCUUACCAAGGCGACGAUCUCUAGCUGUUCUGAGAGGAAGAUCAGCCACACUGGGACUGAGACACGGCCCAGACUCCUACGGGAGGCAGCAGUGGGGAAUAUUGCACAAUGGGGGAAACCCUGAUGCAGCCAUGCCGCGUGUGUGAAGAAGGCCUUCGGGUUGUAAAGCACUUUCAGUUGUGAGGAAAAGUUAGUAGUUAAUACCUGCUAGCCGUGACGUUAACAACAGAAGAAGCACCGGCUAACUCCGUGCCAGCAGCCGCGGUAAUACGGAGGGUGCGAGCGUUAAUCGGAAUUACUGGGCGUAAAGCGCACGCAGGCGGUUUGUUAAGCUAGAUGUGAAAGCCCCGGGCUCAACCUGGGAUGGUCAUUUAGAACUGGCAGACUAGAGUCUUGGAGAGGGGAGUGGAAUUCCAGGUGUAGCGGUGAAAUGCGUAGAUAUCUGGAGGAACAUCAGUGGCGAAAGGCGACUCCCUGGCCAAAGACUGACGCUCAUGUGCGAAAGUGUGGG